This 1115-nucleotide long non-coding RNA is filed under the name Oryctolagus cuniculus (rabbit). RNAcentral describes it as "lncRNA (ENSOCUG00000037348.1)". Lineage: Eukaryota; Metazoa; Chordata; Mammalia; Lagomorpha; Leporidae. The record is from RNAcentral.
GUGAUGGUGGCCCUGGGGACAGGGUGACAUCACACAAUGGGUGGAGAGGACCUCGGUGCCACUGUGGUCUCACAAGAGGCCAGGGUGCUGCAGUGUGGAGGGGGUAGGCACUAAGCUGCUCUCAGGAUCACAAGGGAAAACCUGAUGUCAUCUACAGGGUUGGUCCCUUCUGACCCUCACACUCCUGUGUCAGAGUCAGAAGAAGUUCUGCGCUCAGCUCUCCCUAGACUCCUCUUGUGAAGGAGGGAAUAAAGGACAUGAGGACACAGGUGACGUGUUCCACUGGUGAAAACAUGUUCUCAGCUCCCCACCUGGAUCUGUCACCUCUGGGAAGACGCGAAAAUGACAGCCUGCAGAGAGAUGAGCUCAGACGUCCUUCCCUUAAAACUGCAGGUUCCUCUCAGGUGCACAGAGUCCCCUGCACACGUCUGCCUGGUCCUGUGGGAGCUGAGCAGUGGGAUGCAGUAUCUAACCACAACCGGCAGGUGUGCUGCUGGAAACAGAGUGGCUCCCAGGAGAGGGAGAGAGGGGCUGCAGUAACCCAGGUUAAGAGCGUGCACUGGGAUUGAUCCACACUGAUCCACAAGGGGGUACUGUGGUCGAGAAUCAUAAAGGUAUUUAUAUUUGUGAUAACUUUUCUUACUUUUUCCUCAUUCUCUAAAUGCUUUUUCACUCUUCCCACAAAAAGAUGGGUACAAACAAUAUACUUUUUAAUUUUAUUGCCAUAAGAAAUGCCUUUUUCUUGGAAGUCAGCAUUGGGAUCACAGCCAAUGCCUUCCUUCUUCUCUUCCACGUCCUCUGGUUCUUUCUCAAGCACAGGCCCAGGCCCACUGACAUGACCAUUGGGCACCUGGCCCUCAUCCACCUGGUGAUGCUCAUCAUUGUAGGGGUCAUAGCUGCAGACAUCUAUGCGACUCAGGAGUUAUGGGACAACUUCACUUGUAAAGCUGUCAUCUACUUGCACCAGAUGUUGGUGGGCAAUGGCUAUGCCACCAUUGGACCUCUGGUGCUCAUCAGUACUGAAAAACGAAUGAUCCAGCUUUUCAAAUCCAUGUGGGAGAAGGAAAGUAAGCGUUUACUUGUUCAGGAAUAAACAACAUGUCUCUUCAUGAGCA